GGCGCGAAACCUUUACACUGCACGCCAGUGCGAUAAGGGGAUCCCAAGUGCGUAGGCAUAGAGCCUACGCUUUUGUCCACCCUAGGGUGGUGGACGAAUAAGGGCUGGGCAAGACCGGUGCCAGCCGCCGCGGUAAUACCGGCAGCCCGAGUGAUGGCCGAUCUUAUUGGGCCUAAAGCGUCCGUAGCUGGCCGCACAAGUCCAUCGGGAAAUCCACCUGCUCAACAGGUGGGCGUCCGGUGGAAACUGUGUGGCUUGGGACCGGAAGGCGCGACGGGUACGUCCGGGGUAGGAGUGAAAUCCCGUAAUCCUGGACGGACCGCCGAUGGCGAAAGCACGUCGCGAAAACGGAUCCGACAGUGAGGGACGAAAGCUAGGGUCUCGAACCGGAUUAGAUACCCGGGUAGUCCUAGCCGUAAACACUGCCUGCUAGGUGUGGCACCCACUACGAGUGGGUGCUGUGCCGUAGGGAAGCCGCUAAGCAG
RNAcentral lists this ribosomal RNA (485 nucleotides) under uncultured haloarchaeon. Its description in RNAcentral is "bacterial SSU rRNA". It matches the Rfam family "Archaeal small subunit ribosomal RNA", at positions 338 to 822 of the family's 1478-position model. Lineage: Archaea; Methanobacteriati; Methanobacteriota; Halobacteria; Halobacteriales; Halobacteriaceae. The record is from RNAcentral.